AACGGUCUAUACCUGCGGUACCUGCGGAAGGAUCAUUACAGGACUCGCAAGACUCCUACAACCCUGUGAACCUACUAUACGAACGUUGCUUCGGCGGGUGCGCCCCGGGGAUUCGUUCCCGCGGCGCGUCAGCCCGCCGGCAGCCUACAAAUUCUGUUUCUUUGCGUUGGCAUCUCGAGAAAAACAAAUAAGUUAAAACUUUUAACAAUGGAUCUCU
RNAcentral lists this unclassified non-coding RNA (217 nucleotides) under soil metagenome. RNAcentral describes it as "partial contains 5.8S ribosomal RNA, internal transcribed spacer 2, and large subunit ribosomal RNA". The record is from RNAcentral.